Molecule: microRNA, 22 nt
Filed under: Panagrellus redivivus
Lineage: Eukaryota; Metazoa; Nematoda; Chromadorea; Rhabditida; Panagrolaimidae
Description: prd-miR-236-5p
Gene: prd-miR-236-5p
Source: miRBase by way of RNAcentral
CGUUUUACCUGGUCAAUAUUAG